Molecule: ribosomal RNA, 771 nt
Filed under: Bacillus zhangzhouensis
Lineage: Bacteria; Bacillati; Bacillota; Bacilli; Caryophanales; Bacillaceae
Description: bacterial SSU rRNA
Rfam family: Bacterial small subunit ribosomal RNA
Source: RNAcentral
AGCGGCGGACGGGUGAGUAACACGUGGGUAACCUGCCUGUAAGACUGGGAUAACUCCGGGAAACCGGAGCUAAUACCGGAUAGUUCCUUGAACCGCAUGGUUCAAGGAUGAAAGACGGUUUCGGCUGUCACUUACAGAUGGACCCGCGGCGCAUUAGCUAGUUGGUGGGGUAAUGGCUCACCAAGGCGACGAUGCGUAGCCGACCUGAGAGGGUGAUCGGCCACACUGGGACUGAGACACGGCCCAGACUCCUACGGGAGGCAGCAGUAGGGAAUCUUCCGCAAUGGACGAAAGUCUGACGGAGCAACGCCGCGUGAGUGAUGAAGGUUUUCGGAUCGUAAAGCUCUGUUGUUAGGGAAGAACAAGUGCGAGAGUAACUGCUCGCACCUUGACGGUACCUAACCAGAAAGCCACGGCUAACUACGUGCCAGCAGCCGCGGUAAUACGUAGGUGGCAAGCGUUGUCCGGAAUUAUUGGGCGUAAAGGGCUCGCAGGCGGUUUCUUAAGUCUGAUGUGAAAGCCCCCGGCUCAACCGGGGAGGGUCAUUGGAAACUGGGAAACUUGAGUGCAGAAGAGGAGAGUGGAAUUCCACGUGUAGCGGUGAAAUGCGUAGAGAUGUGGAGGAACACCAGUGGCGAAGGCGACUCUCUGGUCUGUAACUGACGCUGAGGAGCGAAAGCGUGGGGAGCGAACAGGAUUAGAUACCCUGGUAGUCCACGCCGUAAACGAUGAGUGCUAAGUGUUAGGGGGUUUCCGCCCCUUAGUGCUGCA